Molecule: ribosomal RNA, 465 nt
Filed under: Thereuonema turkestana
Lineage: Eukaryota; Metazoa; Arthropoda; Chilopoda; Scutigeromorpha; Scutigeridae
Description: partial 16S ribosomal RNA
Rfam family: Bacterial large subunit ribosomal RNA
Source: RNAcentral
GGUUUCUUGUAAGUGAUAAGAAAUCUGACCUGCCCAAUGAAUAUUAAAUGGCCGCGGUAUUUUGACCGUGCGAAGGUAGCAUAAUCAUUAGUCUUUUAAUUGUAGACUGGAAUGAAUGGUUGGACGAAAUAACAACUUUUUUAUUUUUAAGUGUUGAAUUUCACUUUUUAGUGAAGAGGCUAAAAUAUAACCAAAAGACAAGAAGACCCUAUCAAGUUUUAUUAUAAAUUAUUGUUAAUGAGAGGUAUAUUUAAAAUAAAUAUUAAUUUUGCUGGGGCGGUAGGUUGAAAACUAAUGAAGAUCCAAAAUUUUUGAUUGGUUGAUUAAAUUACUGUAGGGAUAACAGCGUAAUCUUAUUUGAGAGUUCAUAUCGACAAUAAGGGUUGCGACCUCGAUGUUGGAUUAGAAUACCUUCUUGGAGCAGAAUCUAAGAGUGGUGGUCUGUUCGACCAUUAAAAUUCUACA